This 57-nucleotide transfer RNA is filed under the name Gongylonema pulchrum. RNAcentral describes it as "tRNA-Met". The record is from RNAcentral. Lineage: Eukaryota; Metazoa; Nematoda; Chromadorea; Rhabditida; Gongylonematidae.
GAUAUGUUAGGAUAAAGAAAGUCUUUGAGAUUCAUAUUCUUGUGGUUUAUCAUAUUU